GUAGGGAGCAAACGUUGUCCGGAUUUAUUGGGCGUAAAGGGCUCGUAGGCGGUUCAACAAGUCGGUCGUGAAAGCCCGGGGCUCAACUCCGGGACGCCGGUCGAAACUGUUGUGACUUGAGUUCGGUAGAGGUGAGUGGAAUUCUCGGUGUAGCGGUGGAAUGCGCAGAUAUCGAGAGGAACACCAUUAGCGAAGGCGGCUCACUGGGCCGAUACUGACGCUGAGGAGCGAAAGCGUGGGGAGCAAACAGGAUUAGAUACCCUGGUAGUCCACGCCGUAAACGAUGAACACUAGGUGUAGCGGAUUUAUUCAUGUCUGCUGUGCCGUAGCUAACGCAUUAAGUGUUCCGCCUGGGGAGUACGGCCGCAAGGCUA
Molecule: ribosomal RNA, 374 nt
Filed under: uncultured organism
Description: partial 16S ribosomal RNA
Rfam family: Bacterial small subunit ribosomal RNA
Source: RNAcentral